Long non-coding RNA from Electrophorus electricus (electric eel), 1118 nucleotides. RefSeq lists it as uncharacterized. NCBI's taxonomy places the organism in Eukaryota, Metazoa, Chordata, Actinopteri, Gymnotiformes, Gymnotidae. The record is from RefSeq and is a predicted model, not a curated record.
AAAGUCGUAGCAAGUGUGUGUGACCGUAGAACAUACAAGAGGUAACAGCAGGAACUGGCGAAGGAAGUUCAAUCAGAGACAUGCGACAGCUUCGGGGCACUGCAGGACGGACGCGAAUAAUAUUUACUGCCAUCAAAGGCUGAACACUCAGCCGCACUGACUAAAGGAGAAGACGACGCAAAGUAUGUUUGUAAAGUUCCUGAGGACUUCUCUUUGGAAUCAAGGCUUCUGCACACGUGAUUGCAAGUAUGAAAUGUUCCCUGAAAUGUAGUGAAAAAAAUUGGAGCGGUGUAAUGAGGAAUUGGAAGCCCUGUAAUGUGCUGUACAGGGAGAAGUAGACACAGGUACCAGGUAGUUUGAUCUGAGUGGCUGCUCUGCUGCCCUUGACCCUGGGCUUUCUUAGAUCUCGUGGGAAGAUGAAACAGACUCCCUUUGCCUCGGCUAUUGUUGACACAAAAGCAGGACAUCAAAGGAUCUUUGGAAAUCAAAUGAAAAGCAUAAUUUCAUCUGUGCGGGGCAAGGAGAGACCUUGCUGGCAGCCCAGCGAUGAAGAUCAAAGAGUGCCCUGUGUCUGAGCACAGUUGCACCAUCGCGUCCCGCUGCAGCGUGUCCUGAGAAGAAAAAGUGCGGGACUGUUAGCCGCCCUCGCUCCUGUGGGAAUAAGGCUGAAGUGCUCGGGACCCGUGGCCCAUGAGAUGCGGUGGGCAGCAGGGAAGGUUCGGAUUGUGCUGCACCAGGGUAACAGCACCCGCAUGACCUGCACAAGGUCGAGCCGAGGAGCGGCUGGGCAGGCGGACAGAGGGCGGAGCCAGGCUGAGCCAGAGGGAUCUGUUCUAUCAUUCCGGACAAUGUGACUCCACGCUGUGUCACUCUGCUCAGGGAUGUUGGCAAUCACUGCAUCCGAACAGCACUUCCAGAAGCCACCGCCACCAAACCACAGAGACAAAAUCUGUAUUUGCAUUUGUUAAUUUGCGUCAAAUCAAACUCAAUAUCUCCACAGUAUUUCACUGCGAGUUAUAUUCUAUGCUCUAACUGACUGGAACAUUACUGGGCAGGAAUAUAUUGUUCAACAGAAUUUAAAAUAUUAAGGAUGUGUGGUACACACUUGGGAAAGGAAA